GUUUUCCUCCUACUUCUUGCCAACUCUUUUGGUCAGACUCUGACUUCCAAGUCCAGAGAUCGUUGUACCAAAGCACCUUCUGGCCUUUCUUAUGACUUAGUCAUGGAAGAUGAAUCAUGUCUGACCAGAGAUCUGGCAGAGAGGAGGCCCCAGUGAAAGCUGUUUGCUGGCUUUUCUACUCUUUAGGAUGGAUGUGGGAAAAAAAGCACGGGCUGCUUAAGAAAAUCAAGGCUCUGCUACCAAAGGCAGAAAUCUGAUUCAGGAGGAUUAUGAGGCUUGCAUACCUACUGCACCAACCCAUACGAAGUCAAUGAACAGGAUGAGGCCAAGUCAAUAAUACAGAUGAAGAGCAGUACAACCAUGUCUUCAUGCCUUACUGAAAAGCAAAGAUGUAUUUUAUAUCUGGAUUUUCUUUGCACUGAUAAAACGAUAUCAGC
This 437-nucleotide long non-coding RNA is filed under the name Homo sapiens (human). RNAcentral's name for it is "HSALNT0097398". The record is from RNAcentral. Lineage: Eukaryota; Metazoa; Chordata; Mammalia; Primates; Hominidae.